GCGAGGCCGAAAGGCGUAGUCGAUGGGAAACGGGUUAAUAUUCCCGUACUUCUUACAAUUGCGAUGGGGGGACGGAGAAGGCUAGGUGGGCCUGGCGACGGUUGUCCAGGUUCAAGUGCGUAGGCUUAAGAGUUAGGUAAAUCCGGCUCUUUCUAAGGCUGAGACACGACGUCGAGCACCUACGGGUGUGAAGUCAUUGAUGCCAUGCUUCCAGGAAAAGCCUCUAAGCUUCAGAUUGUAAGGAAUCGUACCCCAAACCGACACAGGUGGUCGGGUAGAG
This 280-nucleotide ribosomal RNA is filed under the name Vibrio parahaemolyticus. RNAcentral's name for it is "partial 23S ribosomal RNA". It matches the Rfam family "Bacterial large subunit ribosomal RNA", at positions 1396 to 1676 of the family's 2925-position model. Lineage: Bacteria; Pseudomonadati; Pseudomonadota; Gammaproteobacteria; Vibrionales; Vibrionaceae. The record is from RNAcentral.